Molecule: ribosomal RNA, 468 nt
Filed under: uncultured bacterium
Lineage: Bacteria
Description: partial 16S ribosomal RNA
Rfam family: Bacterial small subunit ribosomal RNA
Source: RNAcentral
GACGAACGCUGGCGGCGUGCUUAACACAUGCAAGUCGAACGGAAAGGCCCUGCUUUUGUGGGGUGCUCGAGUGGCGAACGGGUGAGUAACACGUGAGUAACCUGCCCUUGACUUUGGGAUAACUUCAGGAAACUGGGGCUAAUACCUGAUAGGAGCUCCUGCUGCAUGGUGUGGGUUGGAAAGUUUCGGCGGUUGGGGAUGGACUCGCGGCUUAUCAGCUUGUUGGUGGGGUAGUGGCUUACCAAGGCUUUGACGGGUAGCCGGCCUGAGAGGGUGACCGGCCACAUUGGGACUGAGAUACGGCCCAGACUCCUACGGGAGGCAGCAGUGGGGAAUAUUGCACAAUGGGCGGAAGCCUGAUGCAGCAACGCCGCGUGCGGGAUGACGGCCUUCGGGUUGUAAACCGCUUUCGCCUGUGACGAAGCGUGAGUGACGGUAAUGGGUAAAGAAGCACCGGCUAACUACGUG